Bombina bombina (fire-bellied toad) is the source of this 222-nucleotide small nucleolar RNA. RefSeq annotates it as small nucleolar RNA SNORA73 family. The transcript has a single exon. The record is from RefSeq and is a predicted model, not a curated record. NCBI's taxonomy places the organism in Eukaryota, Metazoa, Chordata, Amphibia, Anura, Bombinatoridae.
CCAACGUGGAUAUCCUGUGAGGUUGCUCUCAUGGGCUCUGUCCUGGUGGCCUAUGGGAGCGUAGCGUCUUUUGGCGCAGUGACGUAUAAUCCCCUUCCACAACGUUGAAGAGCAAGUUUGUCCCCAGCUCUUGGGCUGGUGUGGACAAUGCCCUGUAUAUUCCUACAACUUUCCUGAGCCCUUGGGCAUUGAAUGGGAAGACAAACCAUGCAGGGCACAUUC